Long non-coding RNA from Ostrea edulis (European flat oyster), 1414 nucleotides. RefSeq lists it as uncharacterized. The transcript is spliced from 3 exons. NCBI's taxonomy places the organism in Eukaryota, Metazoa, Mollusca, Bivalvia, Ostreida, Ostreidae. The record is from RefSeq and is a predicted model, not a curated record.
GAUCUGUUAGGAUUUCAUAGAUACGAUGAUGGCUUUUUAAAACAUAAUAUUGUAAAAGUACAUAAUUUGGAAGUAUUCAUUAUCAUUGAUUGAGGCUUAACUUUAGGAUAGAAAUAAUUCUUGAUUCUCUUUUAAUAAUAGAUAACACAGAACCAUCCAGACAAAAGAAGUGUAUGUUUUACGCCAUUGGAAGUGCGGGUGGCGGAUUGCUGGUUGGAAUUCUAUCCACAUCCAUUGUAUGCCUCUUCGUCAACAAAUGUAAAUGAAGGAACAGAAAUAUGGGCGAAUUAUGUUUUCCCACUCAAACUGACCUAUUAACUGACACGGAACGGAAAACACCGAUUCACUCCAAGAGGGAGAACCUGUAUAUCAUGACCGCACCAACAUCCCGGGUCACUCAAACGUUAAAGCUAAUGUACAAAGUAUCAGCAAUGCAUUUUCCACCGAUCAUCCUGAGCAGCGUUACAGCGAUUGUCCAAAAAUUAGUUUAAGUGCGCAUGAGAACGGAAGUUUAUCGUCACAACUAUCACCAAAUAAUGUGGAAAGGGGAUCUAAAGAAUCAGUGAAUGGUGAGAAAUCUCAGGUUUAUCACACCUUGAACAGGGAUUAUAAGGACAAUUCUAGGAUUCUGGACGUUUUUAGUUGUAUAACGACAGUUGCGAAAUAUCCCGAAAGCUACCAGAAGUCAGAAACAGCCCUGGAUACUAAGAGUAAACAAUAUUCAACAUACGAGAGUCCUGUCCAACUUAGUCAUCUCAAAAGAAUUCAAACUGACCAAGCUGAAUCAAUUGAUUUGUUGGAUGAUAGAGUGGAAAAAUUGCAAGAAGUAAAAGCCACUUCAGAAGAUUCACAUCAGGUGUACCGAACUCUUCAGAAGGAGGAGGGUGUGAUGCCAAGAAAAUGAUCACGUACACAGACCGUUAUCACGACAUUCAUGAUCAGUCAGUUGAUUCAGAUAGUACUGUCUCCCAAAUGGAAUAGGAUGCAAUUUCAAUAACGUCUGUUACGAAACGGACAAAUCCUCUUACCGAUUCAUAAUGCCCUCUGAGUUAACGAGAAUUCAUUCAUUCAUGAAAAUUGUGUAAUGUAUCACAUUUGUGAUACAAUACACAAUUAUCAUGUAUUAAUAAAUUGUGGCAGUAAAAAUAUCAGUAAUUUUCAGAACUUAUCAGCAUUCACAGGAAAAUAUCAGUGAUUAUCAGCAAUUAUCAGGAAAAAAUGACAUUGUCCGUAGAUUUCCAUCCAGUAGUGUAAAUGGAUACACAGGGAUUCAUGGACACUACUACAUAAGUAAAUACACUUUGUAUUUCAUUUUAUCUUUUAUCUUAUUUUGUUUUGUUGAUGCCCAAUAUUUUAUGUAUCAUAUUGGUUUUAUGUUUUUAUAUUUUGACAAUGCAUCAAACAUUUUAUCCGA